UGAGGAAUAUUGGUCAAUGGGGGCAACCCUGAACCAGCCAAGUCGCGUGAAGGAUGAAGGUCUUAUGGAUUGUAAACUUCUUUUAUACAGGAAUAAAUUGGGGGACGUGUCCCCUUUUGCAUGUACUGUAUGAAUAAGGAUCGGCUAACUCCGUGCCAGCAGCCGCGAUAAUACGGAGGAUCCGAGCGUUAUCCGGAUUUAUUGGGUUUAAAGGGUGCGCAGGCGGGAUGUUAAGUCGGCGGUGAAAUUUUGCAGCUCAACUGUAAAAGUGCCUUCGAUACUGGCUUCCUUGAGUGUGGAUGAAGUAGGCGGAAUUUGUGGUGUAGCGGUGAAAUGCGUAGAUAUCUGGAAGAACACCAGUGGCGAAGGCGGUCAACUGGCCCAUAACUGACGCUCAUGCACGAAAGCGUGGGGAGCAAACA
This 422-nucleotide ribosomal RNA is filed under the name uncultured bacterium. RNAcentral describes it as "bacterial SSU rRNA". It matches the Rfam family "Bacterial small subunit ribosomal RNA", at positions 355 to 774 of the family's 1533-position model. The record is from RNAcentral.